RNAcentral lists this ribosomal RNA (253 nucleotides) under uncultured bacterium. Its description in RNAcentral is "partial 16S ribosomal RNA". It matches the Rfam family "Bacterial small subunit ribosomal RNA", at positions 524 to 776 of the family's 1533-position model. The record is from RNAcentral.
GACAGAGGAUGCAAGCGUUAUCCGGAAUGAUUGGGCGUAAAGCGUCUGUAGGUGGCUUUUCAAGUCCGCCGUCAAAUCCCAGGGCUCAACCCUGGACAGGCGGUGGAAACUACCAAGCUGGAGUACGGUAGGGGCAGAGGGAAUUUCCGGUGGAGCGGUGAAAUGCGUAGAUAUCGGAAGGAACACCGGUGGCGAAAGCGGCGCGCUGGAUCCCUACUGACGCUGAGGCACGAAAGCCAGGGGAGCAAACGGG